GCCCAGACUCCUACGGGAGGCAGCAGUGGGGAAUAUUGCACAAUGGGGGGAACCCUGAUGCAGCGACGCCGCGUGGGUGAAGGAGCACCUCGGUGCGUAAAGCCCUAUCGGCAGGGAAGAAACAGACGGUACCUGACUAAGAAGCCCCGGCUAACUACGUGCCAGCAGCCGCGGUAAUACGUAGGGGGCAAGCGUUAUCCGGAUUCACUGGGUGUAAAGGGAGCGUAGACGGCGACGCAAGUCUGGAGUGAAAGCCCGGGGCCCAACCCCGGGACUGCUCUGGAAACUGUGCGGCUUGAGUGCGGGAGGGGCAGGUGGAAUUCCUAGUGUAGCGGUGAAAUGCGUAGAUAUUAGGAGGAACACCGGCGGCGAAGGCGGCCUGCUGGACCGUAACUGACGUUGAGGCUCGAAAGCGUGGGGAGCAAACAGGAUUAGAUACCCCCGUA
RNAcentral lists this ribosomal RNA (446 nucleotides) under uncultured bacterium. Its description in RNAcentral is "partial 16S ribosomal RNA". It matches the Rfam family "Bacterial small subunit ribosomal RNA", at positions 329 to 792 of the family's 1533-position model. The record is from RNAcentral.